RNAcentral lists this ribosomal RNA (497 nucleotides) under uncultured bacterium. RNAcentral describes it as "partial 16S ribosomal RNA". It matches the Rfam family "Bacterial small subunit ribosomal RNA", at positions 28 to 507 of the family's 1533-position model. The record is from RNAcentral.
GAUGAACGCUGGCGGCGUGCCUAAUACAUGCAAGUCGAGCGAACGCGCGAGAAGCUUGCUCCUCUGAUGUUAGCGGCGGACGGGUGCGUCACACGUGGAUAACCUACCUCUAAGACUGGGAUAACAUCGGGGAACCGGAGCUACUACCGGAUGAUAUUUUGCACCGCAUUGUUCAAACGUGAAAUACGGUCUUGCUGUCACUUAUAGCUGGAUCAGCGCUGCAUUCGCUAGUUGGUUAGGUAACGGCUUACCAAGGCAACGAGGCAUAGCCGACCUGAACGGGAGAUCGGCCACAUGGGAACAGAGGAAGGGUCGAGACACCGACGGUAGGAAGCAGUAGGGACUCUUCCGCGAGGGGCGAGAGCCUGACGGAGCAACGCCGCGUGAGGGAUGAAGGACUUCGGAUCGGAAAACUCUGUUAGUAGGGAAGAACAUAUGUGUAAGUAACUGGGCACAUCUUGACGGUACCGAAACAGAAAGCCACGGCUAACUACGUG